Dromiciops gliroides (monito del monte) is the source of this 524-nucleotide long non-coding RNA. RefSeq lists it as uncharacterized. The transcript has 3 exons. Lineage: Eukaryota; Metazoa; Chordata; Mammalia; Microbiotheria; Microbiotheriidae. The record is from RefSeq and is a predicted model, not a curated record.
GUACAAUGUUUUCUUGGUUCUGCUCAUUUCAGUUCAUGUAAGUUCAAUUCAGGUGCAUCCUGUGGACUUUGGCAAGCUACCAGCACAACCUGCUUAUUUUGGCCAAGUCAGUGUCACCAGAUCCUGUUGAAAUGCUUGCUGUAGCAACAUCUCAGCUUUAACCAGGAAGGAAAUUGGAAGAAAAAUCAUUGACUUGACCUUCUUCCACUGUGGUUUAAUUUCAUAGAUGCUAGGCUGGUGACUAUGUCACAUGGUCCAUUCCAAAUAAAGCAUUUAAGCCAUUAGAAGAAUGUGCUUCUUCUACAGUCACUUGGUAUCAGGCUGACAGGCUGUAAGGAUGCUUAGCAGAUUAAGGCUCACCUAGCACCCCUGGAUACAAGGGCUUGGAGCCAUGAAUAGAGUUGUUAAUGUGACCUUUUUAAGGUAGCCAACUACAACUAGGGUUGGAGAUGAAGAAAUCUCUGAGUGUGGUGAGGAGUUUCAGAGUACAUCAUCUAAACUACAGCCUACCCUUGUUCACCAGU